This 879-nucleotide ribosomal RNA is filed under the name Treponema socranskii. RNAcentral's name for it is "bacterial SSU rRNA". It matches the Rfam family "Bacterial small subunit ribosomal RNA". Lineage: Bacteria; Pseudomonadati; Spirochaetota; Spirochaetia; Treponematales; Treponemataceae. The record is from RNAcentral.
AACGAACGCUGGCGGCGCGUCUUAACCAUGCAAGUCGAGCGGCAGGCAGCAAUGCCGAGAGCGGCGGACUGGUGAGUAACACGUGGAUAACGUACCCCGAUGCCCGGGACAGCCUGUAGAAAUAGAGGGUAAUACCGGAUAGGUCACUGUUUACGGAAGGUAGACAGCGGGAAAGGAGCUUCGGCUCCGCGACGGGAUCGGUCUGCGGCCCAUCAAGCUCGUUGGUGAGGUAAGAGCUCACCAAGGCGAGGACGGGUAUCCGGCUUGAGAGGGCGGACGGACACAUUGGGACUGAGAUACGGCCCAGACUCCUACGGGAGGCAGCAGGUAAGAAUAUUCCGCAAUGGGGGGAACCCUGACGGAGCGACGCCGCGUGAACGAAGAAGGCCGGAAGGUUGUAAAGUUCUUUUCUGUCCGAGGAAUAAGUGUAGGAGGAAAUGCCUGCAUGGUGACGGUAGGGCAGGAAUAAGCACCGGCUAAUUACGUGCCAGCAGCCGCGGUAACACGUAAGGUGCGAGCGUUGUUCGGAAUUAUUGGGCGUAAAGGGCAUGCAGGCGGGACGCCAAGCUUGGUAAGAAAUACCGGGGCUCAACUCCGGAGCUAUAUUGAGAACUGGCGAACUAGAGUUGCCGAAGGGUAUCCGGAAUUCCGCGUGAAGGGGUGAAAUCUGUAGAUAUGCGGAAGAACACCGAUGGCGAAGGCAGGAUACCGGGCGGGACGACUGACGCUGAGGUGCGAAGGUGCGGGGAGCAAACAGGAUUAAAUACCCUGGUAGUCCAGGGGCGACUUCUACAGUGGAUAUCAAGCUUAUCGAUACGUCGACCUCGGGGGGGGUGCUUUGUUUCAUUAUUUUCGUUCCAUUAACGAGGGGUAAUUAAG